UUCACGCAUAUUGAAACUUGCCACUUGAUUUAAUACCAAUGCUGCUGGUUCAUGCAACUUUUACCUAAACAUGACCCUGCAAAUUUGAAUAUAUUUGUAUCUUCUGUCUCAGUUGCACCCGUCAACCACUGAAGUUUAAAAUUUUAACCUAACCUAACUCUAACCGGUUUCCCUGACGAGCGAACUGAUAUACAGUGUUGCUAUGGACCACGCCGAUGUCAGACCGCUGGAUGGCACAACUGACCAAUCAGAUUCAAGUAUAAAGUGUAAUAAAUGGCAAAACGCAGACUUAUCAUUCACUUUCUUUGCAGAAACAAUAUGAUGGAGAGUCAGUGAUGACAGAAUUUUCAUUAUUUGAAAAUUAUUUUAUUUCAUUAUUAUUAAUUGUUUUUCCUGAACUUUACAUCAGUGAGAACCCGUGUCCUUGACUGUCUAAACCAAAGGCCAUGUGACUGUGAAAGGCCAUUUGUCUCCGAGACAUUCAGAUAAAUGACCAGCUGAAAUCCUCCACUUUGUGAAGUUGUUUCGUAUCCACAUGCAGCACAACAGCUGUACUGAGGACAAUAUCUGCUUCGUCAUGCCUAGAGCUGAUCCGUGCUGGUCGCUGAGGAAAUACAUCAGCUUUGCACUGUGGGUCGCUGGAUCGGCUUUCGUGGACGAAGUGGAGUCCAGCCCGGGGUCGUCACAUGUGAUUGCCGCAACCCCGUCGGCCACGCCAUUCUCAAGCCUGCCGUGUGUGACACUAUGUGUUUCGUUGUGAAAGCGAAACUACUUUGUUUCGCCUUCCAAAAGAGGACACAACUAGAAAUCAGUGGUUAAGUUGUAUUUACAACACUGUUCCAGAACAGUUCAACCCAAAAUACAAUGGGUCUGUGCUUAAAGGCUGUUUCUAUAAAGUGGGGCAGUUCCAACUUUGCAAGGACAGUCUGGCGCUCCUGACUCACAGCCUGUAAGUAUGUUUUUUAUAUUUUAAGAAUUUGCCACUGACGAUUCAAACACGAGUUUUGAGCAGUGUAGAGUAGAGCUUGUUGUUUGUCGUUUCUCCGAUCACAAGUGCAGACAUGGUUUAAUGUUUACGUGGUGCGAUACACAACACAAUGCGUAAAAACACAGUAUA
Long non-coding RNA from Cyprinus carpio carpio, 1117 nucleotides. Lineage: Eukaryota; Metazoa; Chordata; Actinopteri; Cypriniformes; Cyprinidae. The record is from Ensembl.